GCCGCUGUAGCUCAGUUGGUAGAGCAACUGAUUCGUAAUUAGUAGGUCAACGGUUCAAGUCCGUUCAGCGGCU
This 73-nucleotide transfer RNA is filed under the name Myxococcales bacterium. RNAcentral's name for it is "tRNA-Thr". It matches the Rfam family "tRNA". Rfam says of the family: Transfer RNA (tRNA) molecules are approximately 80 nucleotides in length. Their secondary structure includes four short double-helical elements and three loops (D, anti-codon, and T loops). Further hydrogen bonds mediate the characteristic L-shaped molecular structure. tRNAs have two regions of fundamental functional importance: the anti-codon, which is responsible for specific mRNA codon recognition, and the 3' end, to which the tRNAs corresponding amino acid is attached (by aminoacyl-tRNA synthetases). tRNAs cope with the degeneracy of the genetic code in two manners: having more than one tRNA (with a specific anti-codon) for a particular amino acid; and 'wobble' base-pairing, i.e. permitting non-standard base-pairing at the 3rd anti-codon position. The record is from RNAcentral. Lineage: Bacteria; Pseudomonadati; Myxococcota; Myxococcia; Myxococcales.